This 497-nucleotide ribosomal RNA is filed under the name uncultured bacterium. RNAcentral describes it as "partial 16S ribosomal RNA". It matches the Rfam family "Bacterial small subunit ribosomal RNA", at positions 28 to 507 of the family's 1533-position model. The record is from RNAcentral.
GAUGAACGCUGGCGGCGUGCCUAAUACAUGCAAGUCGAGCGAACAGACGCGGAGCUUGCUCCUCUGACGUUAGCGGCGGACGGGUGAGUAACACGUGGAUAACCUACCUAUAGGACUGGGAUAACUUCGGGACACCGGCGCUAAUACCGGAUAAUCUCUUGAACCGCAUGGUUCAAUAGUGAAAGUCGGUUUUGCUGUCACUUAUAGAUGGAUCUGCGCCGCAUUAGCUAGUUGGUAAGGUCACGGCUUACCAAGGCGACGAUGCGUAGCCGACCUGAGAGAGUGGUAGGCGACAUGAGAAGGGAGACACGGACAAGACGCCUAAGAGAGGCAGCAGAAGGGUAUGGGAGGCAGUAGGGGAAAGUCUUACGGAGCGACGGCGAGUGAGAGAUAGAGGUGUUCGGAGCGGAAAAAUCGGUUAUGAGGGAAGAACAGAUGUGGAAGGAAAUGAACACGGAUUGACGGUAACUGAUAAAGAAGCAACGGCUAACUACGUG